UAGUCACUCUCUUGUUCUUUACCUAUUCUG
This 30-nucleotide non-coding RNA is filed under the name Rattus norvegicus (Norway rat). The record is from RNAcentral. Lineage: Eukaryota; Metazoa; Chordata; Mammalia; Rodentia; Muridae.